This 216-nucleotide long non-coding RNA is filed under the name Homo sapiens (human). Its description in RNAcentral is "HSALNT0148783". Lineage: Eukaryota; Metazoa; Chordata; Mammalia; Primates; Hominidae. The record is from RNAcentral.
UCUCUUAAAUUGAGGAAGCAGAACAUGACUCAUCCCUGCCUUCCUGGCAUCCGGAGGGGGCUCCAGGAAAGUUGUGGCAUCCAGUUAGCCGCUUCCACGUGAGUCCCAGUCCUGCUGACAUGUAAGCCUGUCCCCAGUGUCGCUGAGCCAGCUGCUGUUCUCUCCACAUCAGGUACAACUAAUCUUAGGAAUCUCAUUACGGGUCGAGAAAUAAUC